GCAUCGGUGGCUGAGUGGUAGAAUGCUCACCUGCCAUGCGAGUGGCCCGGGUUCGAUUCCCGGCCGAUGCA
Octopus sinensis (East Asian common octopus) is the source of this 71-nucleotide non-coding RNA. NCBI's taxonomy places the organism in Eukaryota, Metazoa, Mollusca, Cephalopoda, Octopoda, Octopodidae. The record is from the annotation of a RefSeq genome assembly.